GGCGCAUUAGCUCAGCUGGUUAGAGCGACGGAAUCAUAAUCCGCAGGUCCCCUGUUCGAAUCAGGGAUGCGCCACCA
This 77-nucleotide transfer RNA is filed under the name Castellaniella hirudinis. RNAcentral describes it as "tRNA-Met". It matches the Rfam family "tRNA". From Rfam's summary of the family: Transfer RNA (tRNA) molecules are approximately 80 nucleotides in length. Their secondary structure includes four short double-helical elements and three loops (D, anti-codon, and T loops). The record is from RNAcentral. Lineage: Bacteria; Pseudomonadati; Pseudomonadota; Betaproteobacteria; Burkholderiales; Alcaligenaceae. RNAcentral also lists the same sequence under 9 other names.